GUGAGACUCUCCCCAAUCUCUAUAGUAACUGGGAGGCAACAGUUCUAAGUUCCAUGGGAGACUUCUGAGGAAGGGAAGAAGCAGUAAGAGUACUCAAUGGGAAUAGCAAAAAAAAAAAAAAUCCUGCAUGGUCAUAAAUAAGCAAUAGAGCUGAAGAACAUGCAACCUGGGAAAAGCUGAAAAACAAACCCAGAAGAGAAUUCUAGAGAAACUGGACAAAAACAGGUGAGACAGCAGCUCCAACAGGGCAUCACAUCAACUGAAAUGCAGAGUAAGGAGCCAGCACAAAGGGGACUCCAGAAAUGUAAGGAACACAGAAAUUGCCAAAAUGAGUCAGAGCAGCGAUCCAUCUACUCUAGUAUCCUGUCUGUGACAGUGACCAGUACCUGAUACUUCAAGAAACCCUGUGAAGGUCAAUUAUGAAAUCACUUACCCAUGUAGGAAAGAUUCUUGCUUAUUACAAGAAAUAAGGAGACCCCAGCACCAUGUGACCAGCCAGCUCACUGCAGACUGCCAGGAAGUGCUCUGCGGGCUAUUGGUGUUCCACAGACCACAAUUUCAGAACACC
Molecule: long non-coding RNA, 568 nt
Organism: Mauremys reevesii (Reeves's turtle)
Lineage: Eukaryota; Metazoa; Chordata; Testudines; Geoemydidae
Exons: 3
Source: RefSeq, a predicted model, not a curated record